This 253-nucleotide ribosomal RNA is filed under the name uncultured bacterium. RNAcentral's name for it is "partial 16S ribosomal RNA". It matches the Rfam family "Bacterial small subunit ribosomal RNA", at positions 524 to 776 of the family's 1533-position model. The record is from RNAcentral.
UACGUAGGGUGGUAGCGUUGUCCGGAUUUAUUGGGCGUAAAGAGCGUGUAGGCGGCCAUGUAGGUCCGGUGUGAAAACUCGAGGCUUAACCUCGAGAUGUCAUCGGAAACCAUUUGGCUAGAGUCCGGAAGAGGAGAGUGGAAUUCCUGGUGUAGCGGUGAAAUGCGCAGAUAUCAGGAAGAACACCAAUGGCGAAAGCAGCUCUCUGGGACGGUACUGACGCUGAGACGCGAAAGCGUGGGGAGCGAGCCGG